AAUCACCAGAAGGACACAGCGGGCUGAGCUGGACGUGGUCCUAGCGGCCUUUGUGUCCGGUGCUUGCCUGAGCCCCAGCUCGGGGUGAUUCUCCCGGUGCUGGGGUGGUCCGGCAUGGGCUUCCUCAGACAGAUACAGCUUUUGCUUUGGAAGAACUGGACUCUGAGGAAAAGGCAGAAGAUUCGCUUUGUAGUGGAACUCGUGUGGCCUUUGUCUUUGUUUUUGGUGUUAAUCUGGCUGAGGAAUGCCAACCCACUCUAUAGUCAGCAUGAAUGCCAUUUUCCCAACAAGGCGAUGCCUUCAGCAGGACUGUUACCGUGGCUCCAGGGGAUUUUCUGCAAUAUGAACAACCCUUGUUUUCAAAACCCCACCCCUGGAGAGUCUCCUGGAACUGUCUCAAACUAUAACAACUCCAUCUUGGCAAGAGUAUAUCGAGAUUUUCAAGAACUCUUCAUGGACACCCCGGAGGUCCAGCACCUUGGCCAGGUUUGGGCCGAGCUCCGCACCUUGUCGCAGUUCAUGGACACCCUGAGGACUCACCCUGAGAGAUUUGCAGGAAGAGGAUUACAAAUCCGAGACAUCCUAAAAGAUGAAGAGGCGCUGACCCUAUUUCUCAUGAGAAACAUUGGCCUGUCUGACUCGGUUGCCCAUCUUCUGGUCAACUCCCAAGUUCGUGUGGAGCAGUUUGCUUAUGGAGUCCCAGACUUGGAACUGACAGACAUUGCCUGCAGCGAGGCCCUCCUGCAGCGCUUCAUCAUCUUCAGCCAGCGUCGGGGGGCACAGACGGUACGCGAUGCCCUGUGUCCCCUCUCCCAGGUCACCCUACAGUGGAUAGAAGACACUCUGUAUGCCGAUGUGGACUUCUUCAAACUCUUCCAUGUGCUCCCCACACUCCUGGACAGCAGUUCUCAAGGAAUCAACUUGAGAUUUUGGGGAGGAAUAUUAUCUGAUCUGUCACCAAGAAUGCAAAAGUUUAUCCAUCGGCCAAGUGUUCAAGACUUGCUAUGGGUGAGCAGACCUCUCCUGCAGAACGGUGGUCCUGAGACCUUCACACAGCUGAUGAGCAUCCUGUCUGACCUCCUGUGUGGGUACCCAGAGGGAGGAGGCUCCCGAGUGUUCUCCUUUAACUGGUAUGAAGACAAUAACUAUAAAGCCUUCCUGGGGAUUGAUUCCACAAGGAAAGACCCCGCCUAUUCUUACGACAAAAGAACAACAUCCUUUUGUAAUUCAUUGAUCCAGAGCCUGGAGUCAAACCCUUUAACCAAAAUAGCCUGGAGGGCGGCAAAGCCAUUGCUGAUGGGAAAAAUCCUCUUUACUCCAGAUUCCCCUGCUGCUCGAAGGAUAAUGAAGAAUGCCAACUCAACUUUUGAAGAACUGGAUCGAGUUAGGAAGUUGGUAAAAGCCUGGGAGGAAGUGGGGCCCCAGAUCUGGUACUUCUUUGAGAAGAGCACACAGAUGACCGUGAUCCGAGACACCCUGCAGCACCCAACCGUCAAAGACUUCAUAAAUAGGCAGCUCGGAGAAGAAGGCAUUACCACCGAAGCCGUAUUAAACUUCUUCUCUAACGGUCCCCAAGAGAAGCAGGCUGAUGAUAUGACCAGCUUUGACUGGAGGGACAUAUUCAACAUCACUGACCGAUUCCUACGCUUGGCUAAUCAAUACCUGGAGUGUCUGGUCCUGGAUAAGUUUGAAAGUUAUGAUGAUGAAGUGCAGCUCACCCAACGAGCCCUGUCUCUCCUGGAGGAGAACAGGUUCUGGGCCGGAGUGGUGUUCCCUGGCAUGUAUCCCUGGGCCAGCUCCUUACCUCCUCAUGUGAAGUACAAGAUUCGGAUGGACAUAGAUGUGGUGGAGAAGACCAAUAAGAUCAAAGACAGGUACUGGGAUUCUGGUCCCAGGGCGGAUCCUGUCGAAGAUUUCCGGUACAUCUGGGGAGGUUUUGCCUAUCUACAGGACAUGGUGGAGCAAGGAAUCGUGAAGAGUCAGAUGCAGGCAGAGCCUCCAAUUGGAGUCUAUCUCCAACAGAUGCCUUAUCCCUGCUUUGUGGAUGACUCCUUCAUGAUCAUCCUGAAUCGCUGUUUCCCUAUCUUCAUGGUGCUGGCGUGGAUCUACUCUGUCUCCAUGACCGUUAAGGGCAUUGUUUUGGAGAAGGAGCUGAGGCUGAAGGAGACCUUGAAAAACCAAGGCGUCUCUAAUGCUGUCAUCUGGUGUACCUGGUUCCUGGAUAGCUUCUCCAUCAUGGCGCUGAGUAUCUUCCUCCUGACGCUGUUCAUCAUGCAUGGAAGGAUCCUCCAUUACAGCGAUCCCUUCAUUCUCUUCCUGUUCUUGUUGGCCUUUGCCACUGCGACCAUCAUGCAGAGCUUCCUGCUCAGUACUUUGUUUUCCAAGGCCAGCCUUGCAGCAGCCUGCAGUGGGGUCAUCUACUUCACCCUCUACCUACCACACGUUCUGUGCUUUGCCUGGCAGGACCGGAUGACGGCCGACCUGAAGACGACUGUGAGCCUACUUUCUUCCGUGGCAUUUGGGUUUGGCACCGAGUACCUGGUCCGCUUUGAGGAGCAAGGCCUGGGGCUGCAAUGGAGCAACAUUGGGAAGAGUCCCCUGGAAGGGGAUGAGUUCAGUUUCCUGCUGUCUAUGAAGAUGAUGCUUCUCGAUGCUGCUCUCUACGGCUUGCUUGCUUGGUAUCUUGACCAGGUUUUCCCAGGAGACUAUGGGACCCCACUUCCCUGGUACUUCCUUCUGCAGGAGUCCUACUGGCUUGGUGGUGAAGGUUGUUCGACCAGAGAAGAAAGGGCUCUGGAAAAGACUGAACCCUUAACAGAGGAGAUGGAGGAUCCAGAGCACCCAGAAGGAAUGAAUGACUCCUUUUUUGAACGCGAGCUUCCAGGGCUGGUGCCUGGUGUGUGUGUGAAGAACCUGGUGAAGGUUUUUGAGCCCAGUGGCCGGCCAGCUGUGGACCGUCUGAACAUCACUUUCUAUGAGAACCAAAUCACGGCGUUCCUGGGUCACAACGGAGCGGGAAAGACCACCACCUUGUCCAUCCUGACAGGACUGUUGCCACCGACGUCAGGAACUGUGCUCAUUGGGGGAAAAGACAUUGAAACCAACCUGGAUGUAGUACGGCAGAGCCUGGGCAUGUGUCCACAACACAACAUCCUGUUUCAUCACCUCACGGUGGCUGAGCACAUCUUGUUCUAUGCCCAGCUGAAAGGGAGAUCCUGGGAGGAGGCCCAGCUUGAGAUGGAAGCCAUGCUAGAAGACACGGGCCUCCACCAUAAGAGGAAUGAAGAAGCUCAGGACCUUUCAGGUGGCAUGCAGAGGAAGCUGUCUGUUGCCAUUGCUUUUGUGGGAGAUUCUAAGGUGGUGGUCCUGGAUGAGCCCACCUCUGGGGUGGACCCCUACUCCAGACGCUCCAUCUGGGACCUGCUCCUGAAGUAUCGCUCAGGCAGAACCAUCAUCAUGUCCACUCACCACAUGGACGAGGCAGACCUCCUUGGGGACCGCAUUGCCAUCAUUUCUCAGGGAAGGCUCUACUGCUCUGGAACCCCGCUCUUCCUCAAGAACUGCUUUGGCACAGGCUUCUACUUGACCUUAGUUCGCAAGAUGAAAAACAUCCAGAGCCAAAGAGGUGGCUGUGAGGGGGUCUGCAGCUGUACAUCAAAGGGUUUCUCUACCAGGUGUCCAACCCGAGUCGAUGAGAUAACAGAAGAACAAGUCCUGGAUGGAGAUGUGCAGGAGCUGAUGGAUUUGGUAUACCACCAUGUCCCAGAGGCAAAGCUGGUGGAAUGCAUUGGUCAAGAACUUAUCUUCCUCCUUCCAAACAAGAAUUUCAAGCAGAGAGCAUAUGCCAGCCUUUUCCGAGAGCUGGAGGAGACUCUGGCUGACCUGGGGCUCAGCAGCUUUGGAAUUUCUGACACUCCCCUGGAAGAGAUUUUCCUGAAGGUCACAGAGGAUGCUGGAGCGGGCUCUAUGUUUGUAGGUGGCGCUCAGCAGAAAAGAGAACAAGCCGGUCUCCGGCACCCUUGUUCGGCUCCCACUGAGAAGCUCAGGCAGUAUGCCCAGGCCCCACAUACCUGUUCCCCAGGACAAGUGGAUCCUCCCAAGGGCCAACCUUCCCCAGAGCCAGAGGACCCCGGUGUCCCAUUCAACACAGGUGCUCGGCUGAUUCUUCAACAUGUGCAGGCCCUGCUAGUCAAGCGAUUCCAUCACACCAUCCGCAGCCGCAAGGACUUUGUGGCUCAGAUUGUUCUCCCUGCCACUUUCGUGUUCUUGGCUCUGAUGCUUUCAAUCAUUGUGCCUCCGUUUGGUGAAUUUCCAGCUUUGACUCUUCAUCCCUGGAUGUAUGGGCAUCAAUAUACCUUCUUCAGCAUGGACGAACCCAACAAUGAACACCUUGAAGUACUGGCAGAUGUCCUUCUGAACAGGCCAGGCUUUGGCAACCGUUGUCUAAAGGAAGAGUGGCUUCCGGAGUACCCAUGCAUUAAUGCAACCUCCUGGAAGACGCCCUCCGUGUCCCCGAACAUCACCCACCUGUUCCAGAAGCAGAAAUGGACAGCAGCCCACCCCUCUCCCUCCUGCAAGUGCAGCACCAGAGAGAAGCUCACCAUGUUGCCCGAGUGCCCCGAGGGUGCUGGAGGGCUCCCACCCCCACAGAGGACACAGCGCAGCACUGAAGUCCUACAAGACCUCACGAACAGGAACAUCUCCGACUACUUGGUAAAAACGUACCCUGCUCUCAUAAGAAGCAGCUUAAAGAGCAAAUUCUGGGUCAAUGAACAGAGGUAUGGAGGAAUUUCCAUCGGAGGAAAACUCCCUGCUAUCCCCAUCAGCGGGGAAGCACUUGUUGGCUUUCUAAGUGGCCUUGGCCAGAUGAUGAACGUGAGCGGGGGUCCUGUCACCAGGGAGGCCUCCAAAGAAAUGUUAGAUUUCCUCAAACAUCUUGAAACCACAGACAACAUUAAGGUAUGGUUUAACAACAAGGGCUGGCAUGCCCUGGUCAGCUUUCUGAAUGUGGCUCACAACGCCAUCUUACGGGCCAGCCUGCCCAGGGACAGGGACCCUGAGGAGUAUGGAAUCACUGUCAUCAGCCAGCCUCUGAACCUGACCAAGGAGCAGCUCUCGGACAUCACAGUACUGACUACUUCCGUGGAUGCCGUGGUUGCCAUAUGUGUGAUUUUCGCCAUGUCCUUCGUUCCAGCCAGCUUUGUCCUUUACUUGAUCCAGGAGAGGGUGACGAAAGCUAAACAUUUGCAGUUUAUCAGUGGUGUGAGCCCCACCACCUACUGGCUGACCAACUUCCUCUGGGAUAUUAUGAAUUAUGCUGUGAGUGCGGGAUUGGUGGUGGGCAUCUUCAUUGGAUUUCAAAAGAAAGCCUACACAUCCCCAGACAACCUUCCUGCUCUCGUCUCUCUGCUCAUGCUGUAUGGAUGGGCAGUCAUUCCUAUGAUGUAUCCAGCAUCCUUCCUGUUUGAAGUCCCCAGCACAGCCUAUGUGGCUUUGUCCUGUGCUAACCUGUUCAUCGGCAUCAACAGCAGCGCCAUCACCUUCGUCCUGGAAUUAUUUGAGAAUAACCGGACGCUGCUCAGGUUCAAUGCCAUGUUGAGGAAGUUGCUCAUUGUCUUCCCCCACUUCUGCCUGGGCAGGGGCCUCAUUGACCUGGCACUGAGCCAAGCUGUGACAGACGUCUAUGCCCAGUUUGGUGAGGAGUACUCUGCAAACCCAUUCCAGUGGGACCUGAUUGGGAAGAACCUGGUUGCUAUGGCAAUAGAAGGGGUGGUAUACUUCCUUCUGACCCUGCUCAUCCAACACCAUUUUUUCCUCACCCGGUGGAUCGCUGAGCCUGCUAGAGAGCCCGUUUUUGAUGAAGAUGACGAUGUGGCUGAAGAAAGACAAAGAGUUAUGAGUGGGGGAAAUAAAACCGACAUCUUAAAGCUAAACGAACUAACCAAGGUUUACUCAGGCUCUUCCAGUCCAGCAGUAGAUCGGUUAUGUGUUGGAGUUCGACCUGGAGAGUGCUUUGGCCUCCUGGGAGUGAAUGGUGCAGGCAAAACCACCACAUUCAAGAUGCUCACUGGGGACACCACAGUGACAUCGGGGGAUGCUACUGUGGCAGGCAAGAGCAUUUUAACUAGUAUUUCUGAUGUCCAUCAAAACAUGGGCUACUGUCCUCAGUUUGAUGCAAUCGAUGACCUGCUCACAGGCAGAGAACACCUUUACCUCUAUGCCAGGCUGCGGGGCGUGCCAUCGAAGGAAAUCGAGAAGGUUGCCAACUGGGGUAUCCAGAGCCUGGGCUUGUCUCUCUACGCUGACCGCCUGGCAGGCACCUACAGUGGAGGCAAUAAGAGGAAACUCUCUACAGCCAUAGCUCUCACUGGCUGCCCUCCCCUGCUGCUGCUGGUGAGGGCAUCGUACUCUGCAGAGUGGAAAUGUCACGGACGUCCUGAGUUGAGAAAAUUAAUUCAGGGCUUGCAGCUUUAGAACGGCAAUAGAUUGCCCCUUUAAGGCAAAUUAGCCAAGUGUUUGGUCACAGCACAGUCUGACCUUCAAUGCCUGGAAAGUCUCUAGAAGGUCCAGAAACUCAGACUGGAAAGCCCUGUCAGCUCCAGGGAAUGUUGCGAUCUGGUUAGAAAUUAGGAUGAGGAAAUCUGUGUGGACCGGAGCAUCUACUUCAAUCAGAGGCUCCGGGGACCCUCUCGUGAAUUGGACCACAGUAGAGUCCCUGAGACCAUGCAGUCUGGGUUUUAAAUGACAUGGGACAUAGAGAGGACUGUAAAGUUACUUGGGCUAUCCCCCUCCCCUGACCCUUCCUAAGGAUAAUUCUACUAUUGUCUUUAUUAAUUUAUUGUUAUUGUUCAUAUUAUUAUUAUUAUCCUAUUUCUGUAUUUCUAUUAUCCUAACCUUAAUUCACUCACAGCUGGCAUGGUCCUAUAGGAUGAGCCCACGACAGGGAUGGAUCCCCAGGCACGCCGCAUGCUGUGGAACACCAUUGUGAGCAUCAUCAGAGAAGGGAGAGCUGUGGUUCUCACCUCCCACAGCAUGGAAGAAUGUGAAGCUCUGUGUACGCGGCUGGCCAUCAUGGUGAAGGGCACCUUUCAGUGUCUGGGUACCAUCCAACACCUCAAGUACAAGUUUGGAGACGGCUACAUUGUCACAAUGAAAAUCAAAUCUCCAAAGGACGACUUGCUUCCCGAUUUGAAUCCUGUGGAGCAGUUCUUCCAGGGCAACUUCCCUGGCAGCGUGCAGAGGGAGAGACACCACAGCAUGCUCCAGUUCCAGGUCCCCUCGUCCUCCCUGGCCAGGAUCUUCCAGCUGCUCAUUUCCCACAAGGACAGCCUGCUCAUCGAGGAGUACUCAGUCACCCAGACCACGCUGGACCAGGUGUUUGUAAACUUCGCUAAACAGCAGACUGAGACCUAUGACCUCCCUCUGCACCCCCGGGCUGCUGGAGCCAGCUGGCAAGCCAAGCUUGAAGAGAAAUCCGGACGGCUGCAGACACAGGAGCCUUUGCCCGCAGGAUCUGAACAACUGGCUAACGGAAGCAACCCCACGGCAGCAGAAGAUAAGCACACCAGGAGUCCACAGUGAGCUGGAGGAGACUCUUUCAGAAAGAAACCAAAAUUCACUGGCUCACCGGAACUCCUGAUGGCAAAACUGACCUAUCAGAAUGGUCACCUGUUUAUCCAGAACCCCUGACUGGUGGCUUUGGCCUUAGCGAUACUUUCAUUCUGAGUGGAUCUGCUUUUGUGGAGUGGGAAGGGUAUGGAUGUGUGGGUGUUAUUUGAGGGGAGAAAUAAAAAACAGUCUCCUGAUUAAUCCCCUGCU
Mus musculus (house mouse) is the source of this 7818-nucleotide RNA transcript. It is a transcript of the gene named ATP-binding cassette, sub-family A member 4, with no coding region annotated. Lineage: Eukaryota; Metazoa; Chordata; Mammalia; Rodentia; Muridae. The transcript is spliced from 50 exons. The record is from RefSeq and is marked reviewed.